Molecule: ribosomal RNA, 624 nt
Filed under: Gammaproteobacteria bacterium
Lineage: Bacteria; Pseudomonadati; Pseudomonadota; Gammaproteobacteria
Description: bacterial SSU rRNA
Rfam family: Bacterial small subunit ribosomal RNA
Source: RNAcentral
CCGCCUGGGGAGUACGGUCGCAAGGUUGAAACUCAAAGGAAUUGACGGGGGCCCGCCCAAGCGGUGGAGCAUGUGGUUUAAUUCGAGGCAACGCGAAGAACCUUACCAGGCCUUGACAUGUCUGGAAUCCCGAGAGAUGCGGGAGUGCCUUCGGGAAUCAGAACACCGGGGCUGGAUGGCUGUCGUUAGGUUGGGGCGGGGGAUGGUGGGGUAAGUUCCGCAACGGGCGCCACCCCUCUCCUUUGUUGCCAGCCCGUAAGGGUGGGAAUUCAAGGGAGACUGCCGGUGAUAAACCGGAGGAAGGGGGGGAUGACGUCAAGUCAUCAUGGCCCUUACGGCCAGGGCUCCACACGUGCUACAAUGGCGCGUACAGAGGGCGGCAAGCUAGCGAUAGUGAGCGAAUCCCAAAAAGCGCGUCGUAGUCCGGAUCGGAGUCUGCAACUGGACUCCGUGAAGUCGGAAUCGCUAGUAAUCGCAAAUCAGAAUGUUGCGGUGAAUACGUUCCCGGGCCUUGUACACGCCGCCCGUCACACCAUGGGAGUGGGUUGCACCAGAAGUAGGGGCUUAACCUUCGGGAGGGCGUUUACCACGGUGUGAUUCAUGACUGGGGUGAAGUCGUAACAA